UUCUGCCAUGAUUCUGAGGCCUCCCAGCCACGUCGAACUACAGAAGAAGGAGAUGCCAGUGACAAGCAAAGUAACUCCCCCACGGCAUGGGAAGAGCCAGCAUCUGCUGCUGUCCAGGAAUACAGUCUCACUGCUGCAGUCAAGGAAGGCCAAAGAAGCCACCGGGGAAAACCAACCCAUCCCGGGGACACUGGAGGCUCACUCCUUCCUCGCUGCAUUCUGAGGCUGCUGCUUUGGAGUGAGAGAUUAUCCUCUGCUUCUCCUGAAAGAGAAGGUGAUAUGCCCAGGACCCUUCCUGAGUAAGAUGUGUUCCUCAGAGGUUAAAAAAGAAAAAAAAGCCCCAAACCCCUGAAACCAAGAAAUCAAGACAGCUCUGGUGGAGAAGCUUUUGGGAACUUGCUGGGGCAGGCUCCAAUCAGCUUAAAGUCCUUGCAAAGAAAGAAAUUGUGCCCUGUCUCUCAGCGUCGACCAUAGCAGAGAGCCUGGGACAUGAAUGGGUGUCAUUAUUUAUCUGCUGAACAAAUAGCAAAUUAUCUGGAUUUUACAGAGGAAGGAGGACAUUGAAGAUUAGAGGUUGCAUAGCCUGACCAUGUUUACAUCUACUGCAGAUGAAGAGAUUGCUUCGCUUCAAACCUCCUGACUGCCAUGGAACCAUCUGGCACAUACACGUGUGUGGGUGGCGUCAGAAGUGGGAUCUGAAGUAGAGCUUCUAAUGACCUCUAGGAGUGCUGAGUGACCAAGUGAGGUACCUGCAGGACCCUUUUGUGUUCAGUGAUCUCUUGGAGCAGCUGGGGAUCAUGCUUGACCUCCACGGCUAUAGUGUGGUGAACAGGCUCAGUAGGGCUGCUCAGAGAAAGGGAAUCCAGAAGCCUGGCAUGCUGGCAAAAGGGUAAGAAUUUCUUACCAGUCAGACUUCUCACCUCUCUCUUUCUGUGCAAAAUGGUUGGAUGAAUGGUAAAAAUCACUGUUUAUCUCUUCUGUAAAGUUCUAAUUAAUAUGAAAAAAGGCUUCUGAGGCUAGACCUAAGCUGUAGCAAAUGCGAUGUGCUUUGUGUGUCUUCUGUAUGGUUUUGUCAUAAAGAGGAGUAUGUUAGGAUAGAACAUGGGCUUAGGACCCCAUAAGCUCACUAUUCAAGAUGGCCCAGCAAGCUGGUCAGUAACAAACUUUGUUGCAGUUACCUGAAACAAACAAAAAACUGGAUGAGGUUUCCAUCUUGUUUUAUGUCCUUGGGAAUUUGACCUCAUAACCAUGUGGCAAUACUUUCUCUUGGUCUCUGCCAUGUAAGGAACAGGAAUUGGGGGAUUCAUGUCAUAGCCCUAAAAAUUAUUGAACAGUAAAAGCCUUUGUGACCACACCACUGUACUCCAGCCUGUGUAACAGAGC
RNAcentral lists this long non-coding RNA (1383 nucleotides) under Homo sapiens (human). RNAcentral describes it as "HSALNT0332890". Lineage: Eukaryota; Metazoa; Chordata; Mammalia; Primates; Hominidae. The record is from RNAcentral.